This 235-nucleotide ribosomal RNA is filed under the name uncultured bacterium. Its description in RNAcentral is "partial 16S ribosomal RNA". It matches the Rfam family "Bacterial small subunit ribosomal RNA", at positions 555 to 789 of the family's 1533-position model. The record is from RNAcentral.
UGGGCGUAAAGGUCGCGUANGCGGNCUGGCNAGUCUAAGGUGAAAUCCCUCGGCUCAACCGACGAACUGCCUUGGAAACUGCCGGACUUGAGUUCCGGAGAGGAAAGCAGAAUUCCCAGUGUAGCGGUGAAAUGCGUAGAUAUUGGGAGGAAUACCGGUGGCNAAGGCGGCUUUCUGGACGGAAACUGACGCUUAGGCGCGAAAGCUAGGGGAGCAAACGGGAUCAGAUACCCCG